GGACAGUCAUCGCCGAGUCCCCGUACGGCGCGAGCCAGGGGAGCCGGGGACCCAUCGUCCCUGGGGUGAAUCGGGCGCCCGCGCUGCUGCGAGGGGGCCCGUAGGAGACCUUCCUGCUCCGAACCCGUCAGCUAACCCGGUAGGCGAGAGGGAAGGAAAGG
Streptomyces hygroscopicus subsp. jinggangensis 5008 is the source of this 161-nucleotide non-coding RNA. The record is from Rfam. Lineage: Bacteria; Bacillati; Actinomycetota; Actinomycetes; Kitasatosporales; Streptomycetaceae.